This 1270-nucleotide long non-coding RNA is filed under the name Salmo salar (Atlantic salmon). RNAcentral describes it as "lncRNA (ENSSSAG00000112405.1)". Lineage: Eukaryota; Metazoa; Chordata; Actinopteri; Salmoniformes; Salmonidae. The record is from RNAcentral.
UGGAGGUACGCCAUGUGCGACUGACGUGUUUUCCGUUUGCUCCCGCAGUAUUCUUAAAGUUUAUGUGAAUUUUGCAGCAGAACUGUAUUUGUUUUCAAAUAUUAGUUUGGUGAUCCCUUUCCGUAAAAACCAAGACUACUUUGCUUUCGAAUGUCAGCAUGUCGACGAAACAUACGGCCAAAAACCUGACUUUGAGAAAACCCGGCCUACAAGACCCACUCUCAUCACCGCCCUCUCCUGAGUCUGAAGGCCCGGGGACUCACACUUUACCCGGGGGUGCGGAUUGGCCUGGCGGCGCUGAAAUGAACAUUCUUCGAGGCCAUCAAGCUACUACGCACUGAGAUAGUUGAAAUGAAAACGGAGGUAGUUGCUACGAUUGAGGCCCGAAUACAGGAGGUUUCUGAUACUUUAAAAGCAGAUUUACAUUUUAGUCAUUUAGCAGGCAUUCUUAUCCAGAGCAACUUACAGUAGUGAAUGCAUACAUUUCAUUCAUUCAUUGUUUUUUUUUUUGUACUGGCCCCCCGUGGGAAUUGAACCCACAACCCUGGCGUUGCAACGCCAGCAUGGUGUGUGCAAACACAAGAAUUGCCGUCUAACCAUCCUGCGAAAGGAGACGGUGCCAGCAAUCACAUCACUCAAAACAACAACAGAGUUGCACACUACAACGAUUGCAGCACUGGAGACCUCCGCUACCAAUGUCUCCGACUUAACUACCUCUCUGGAGGCUGAUGUGAAACGCCUGGAUGCGGAUUUGGAAAAGGUGCAGGAGAGUUGUGAGUUUAGAGGGAUUCUCUUGCCGCAAUAACCUGAGACUGGUAUCGGUCCCAGAGUCAGUGGAAGUGCCACGGAUUUAAUUUCUGGGCUGCUGAAGGAUGCUCUUGCCUUGGAUGAGAAGUCCCUGAUUGAUCGUGCCCACCGGUUGCUGCGCCCAAAGUCCCGGGAUGGUGAGAGGCCCUGUGACAUAAUUCUUCGAGUGCACUUUUUCCAUGAGAAGAUGGAGAUUCUCAGACGAGCCCGUCUGAAUACCACUCAAUACCACUCUGAGCUUUCAAGGACAGAGCUUCUCUAUCUACCAGGACUACUCCCCCACUGUUUCCAGGCAGCGCGCAGCUUUUGGGCAGGCCAAACGACUACUACAGGACCAUCCAGGUGUGAAGUAUGGACUGCGAUUCCCGGCCCGUUAAUGGCUAUCUCAUGAUGAUUCCCAUUUGUUGAUUUUAGGGGGGGAUUUCAACUGUACAAUGUCCCCAGUUCUUGACAAGUCCUCACG